CAGACCUCUUAAGUCUCGUUUAAUAAUUCGAUUUUUCUUCCUCUCUCCUAGAUUGGUACUGUUACCAAUGCGAUUGGUACUAUUAAUAUAUCAAAACUAUUAAAAAAAACAGGCUAAUGAUCCUAGCAAUUGUGAAGAUGAUCAACAAACUCAUCAGAAUCCAGAAGAUCUGCUUCAAAAUUAUUGAACGACUAUUCCAAGCUUUUCCCGUUUAUUCAAAAACGAAAGUAAUAUUUAAUGUGAAAUAUUUAAUUUAUAUUUAAUACGAAAAUUAGUGCAGAUACUGUAUUAGUCAUACAAGGAAUAAAAUUUGUAUCAAUGCUAUGGAUCAUUAUGUUCCACAUGAUGUUCUUCACGUACAAUUACACUGACAAUAAAUCUUUAUCCUGGAGGAAAAUGGAAGAUUUUGUUAUCUAGAUGUUAACCAACGAGAAUUUGGUAGUUGACACAUUGUUCUUCUUAAGUGGUUUCCUCGUCGAUUAAAUGAAUUUAACGAAUGAAAAAAGCAAGGAUGAAUUCGUACAAUCACAUAGCUAAAACUAAAAUCUUCUUCCUGGGUAUUUUAAAAAACUUUGUCAGAUAGGAUAAUUUUCAAGUAUAAUAAAAAAUUUAAUUAUUUUUAGAAACUUAUUUGUUAAUUCUUCUAAUGUAAUUUAAUAUCGGCUUAUUAUUAUAUAAUUCCAUGUGGUUUAAUAACAACUCGUUAUUUUACAUGAGAUAUCGAUCACAUAAAAUAUGUCCAAAGUAUUAGUGGAGGAAUAUAUUUUAUAUUCAAAAUUUCUUUCGUAUGAAGACCAUGCUAUGAACAUUUAUUUAUUAAUAAUUGAUUGACACACAAUAUUCAUUGUAACAACGAUUACUUAUCAAUAUUUAUUUUUACGGUGUAUGAUUUGGAACUGGUACAUGGUAAACAAUAUGCAGUUCUUUGCAAUUGGCACAUUACUGCUAUUUUCUCGUAUUUUCGACGUACUUCAAUAUGGCAGUCUGUUUGCUAAGUCUAUUUCUCAUCGACGAUUAUAACGAGUUAUAUCUCCUAUAUCUACGAUUAUAUUCCUACAUUUGUGUGUGCUUAUGACUUUUCAUUGAUGUUCGAAAUACCAUACAUCCUUUUGAUGAAACAAAUUAUUAAUUAUAUACGCCGAUAAAAACAAAUGGUUGAUAUCUUCAUGCUUAUGCAAACUGAUAUAACUUUCUUUCCAUGUUUUGUAAUUUAUUAGUCCAUAUAUAUUUGUUUUUUCUCGUGAUUCAAUGCACUUCUUUCUAAAUUACAUACUGUUAUUUAGAAAGAAUCACGUAAUUAUUGUGAAGAAUUGAUUGAACGAGACACAACACAGACGGAAUCCAACGCAAAGAAACGCAUUUCACGAUUUUUAUACGAAGUUACGCGAAUAAUGCAGACAAACCUAAUCCCUCGAUGAUGGAAUGAGCUGCUCGAUGAUACAUCGGAGAACUGUCUAACUUCUCUGUUCGACUUCUUCCAAAGAACUCCUUCCAAAGGCUCAUACCCGAAGGUCUCAUCAGAGAGUUCAACACAAUAAAUAUUUUUCCCUAUUGAAAAAAAACAACCUACUCAAGAAUCUACGCUCAAGAAUUUCACCCGAGAGAAACUAAUAUAAUUAAAAUAGAAUAAUCGUUUCAACUAGUAGAAUUAAGUGGCUAUCCGUUUUAAUAACUAGAAAGAAGUGUUUGUUUACUCAUUCCAAAAAGUUCGGAGAACUGUCCCUAUUAUCCGAAUUACUAUCCAAAUUAAAUAAAAUACGUUCAUAAGUAAA
Molecule: long non-coding RNA, 1772 nt
Organism: Vespa crabro (European hornet)
Lineage: Eukaryota; Metazoa; Arthropoda; Insecta; Hymenoptera; Vespidae
Exons: 6
Source: RefSeq, a predicted model, not a curated record